Long non-coding RNA from Hemiscyllium ocellatum (epaulette shark), 2923 nucleotides. RefSeq lists it as uncharacterized. NCBI's taxonomy places the organism in Eukaryota, Metazoa, Chordata, Chondrichthyes, Orectolobiformes, Hemiscylliidae. The transcript has 2 exons. The record is from RefSeq and is a predicted model, not a curated record.
CGAAAACAUGGCGCGGGGCAGCGGCUCCAAACCGAAAACAUGGCGCGGGGCAGCGGCUCCAAACCGAAAACAUGGCGCGGGGCUGGCACGCUCCAAACCGAAAACAUGGCGCGGGGCUGGCACGCUCCAAACCGAAAACAUGGCGCGGGGCUGGCACGCUUACCCGGGAACUGCAGGACCUCAGCGGCUCGACCGUGCUCCCGCAAGGCCUCCUGUAACUUCCUGCACUGGGUGCUUUUCCCGGAUCGGUCUAUCCCCUCCAGCACGAUGAGAGCGCCCCGCCGAGCAGCCAUGUUUCAAGAGGCGGGCGGACUUUGCCGCUCUUGAUCCGGGAUGGCGGAUUUUGAAAUCCGACCGUUGCUGAGCGAUGACGCGGUGCCGCAGAUGCAGAGGCCACUGGAAACCAGGCCAGGCCUGCAUCCACGGAGAGAGGGGCCCAACCAUCGUUUCCCGUUUGGAUUGAAAUGAAGCGUGCAGGACAAAGCAUUUUAUGCUACGGUCAUUAGUGAACCAGAUGGGCUUUCCCAACAAUCAACAAUGGAUUUGUGGUCAUUUUGGUAUGCUGCAUUUCACCAGUGAGGCCUUGACAGUAUCACUGAAGUGCUUCCUCCAUCCACCUUGGGCUCAUCUGCUGUUUCAAAGCUGAGAGUAGAGCACCUGCUUGGAGAAUCUUAUGUCGGUCUUUUGGACCACAUGCAUUUCUCCUGGAGCUGUCACAUGAUGAAAUGACCAUUGUGCACCCAACUUUUGUGGCUAAAAGCCACGUGGCAAUUCCAGGAGGAGCUCCUCAGGGACAGGGAGGAAAUGGUUAAGAAGGACCUUGAGGAUGACUUUUCCAACAGUCACUAGGAGAGAGAUUCCCCUGUAGUUACCACAAUCUGCCUUGGUUCGUUUUUUGAAAAUGCUCACAACUGUGGCAUCUUGGUGCUUUCCCAAGAUGCUCUCUUCUUUCCCCACGAUGACGGCAUAGCUGAAACAUAGCCUCAGUACUCAACACUAACAAUUGUCAAUUUCCAGAUGCCAUCCUACAAUUAGUCUGUUUCAUCCUUGGCGACAACAUUUUCAUCUUUGACAAUUAGCUCUGCAUCCAGACACACAGAACAGCCACGGGGACAAAGUUUGCACCCUAAUACGCCAAAAGUUUCAUGCAAACAUUCGAGUAAGACUUCUUUGCUGCGCAAGACAUUCAAACAACUCUAUAUACAUGAUGCAUCAACAACAUUUUCUUCCUUGGGACUCACGGCAAGGAAUCACUGAAAUGACUACACAAUGAUAUCAACAAGUUUCAUCCCACCAUCAGACUUUUAUAGACUACUCUUCAGAAUCAGUCUUAUUCUUGGACACAUGCAUCUUCAUCAAGGACAGACACCUCUGUACCACAAUCUACUACAAGUCCACAGAUAACCUCAUGAUGCUGCACUUCUCUGGCUUCCACCCUAAACAUGUUAAAUAAACCAUUCCCUAUGGACAAGCCCUGCAUGUAUACAGGAUCUGCUCAGUCAAGGAAGAAUGCAAUGGAUGCUGAAAGAUGCCCUCAUAAAGUGAUACAAUGCACAAUUCAUCAAUUGAGGGAGGCAAAGAACUUCUUCAAAGUGGGAUGCUCAACACAUCAAUUGCCAGUUCCAACUUGCCACAGCAAAAACUGCGAUGACCUCCUCCGAGGACAGACACAGGACACAACUGAUAGAGUGGCCUUCGUCGUCCAGUUCCUGGAAUGGAGGAACUAUACCAUGUUCUCCUUCAGUAUGUCAUUGAUGUCAAUGAACAUCUAGCCAAGAUGAUCCCUACGCAUCCAAUUCUCACCUUCAAACAGCUGCCAAACCUUAAGCAGACCAUCAUUUGCAGCAAACUACCUAGCCUUCAGGACAACAUCGACCACAAUGCCACACAACCCUGCCAUGGCAAUCUCUUUAAGACAUACCAGUUCAUCGACAUGCAUACUAACAUCACAUGUGGGCACAUGACCCACAAUGUAAACGGCAGAUGCUCAUGUAACUCAGCCGAUGUUGUUUAUCUCAUAUACCACAGGCAAAGAUGCUCUGAGACAUGAUAUAUUAGUGAGACUGUGCAGAUUCUACAACAACAAUUGAAUAGACACCACACAAAACUCUAGACAGGAAUGUUCUUUCUCAGACAGGGAACACUUCAGUGGUCAAGGACAUUCAGCCUCCAAUCGUCAGGUAAGCAUCCUCCAAGAAGGCCUCAAGAUACACAACAGCAUAUAAUCGUCGAGCAGAAACUGAUAGUCACGUUCCAUACCCAUAAAAAUGGCCUCAACCGUGAUCAUGUUGUGCUUCAUGUAACCCCACCAUACUGUUCUGUAUCUGUAAAAUCUUCUCUACUGACUUGUUUUGACACCAAAACCUUGGUAAUCUGUUAUAAUCUUCGAGUAAAAAAUGAGGUCUGCAGAUGCUGGAGAUCACAGCUGAAAAUGUGUUGCUGGUCAAAGCACAGCAGGCCAGGCAGCAUCUCCGGAAUAGAGUGUUGCUGGUCAAAGCACAGCAGGCUGUUGCUGGUCAAAGCACAGCAGGCUUCCAACCAACUCUCUACCUUAAUUAGUUUGUACAGUUUUGGAUUACUUGCUACUUUGGUUAGACCCUUAGCAUGUGACUCCUAUAUCUAACAUGUUAUUCCAGCCAUUUGGUUUAUCUUCAGCACUACCUUGGUUUAAUUUUUGUAGUUAUCUCUCUGCCUCAAUUAGGAUUGUAGGUCAUCCUUUCACUUGCCAUUCAGCUGUUGACACUUUACUCAUAACACCUGACACGUUUGAUCACCUGCAGAAACUUAUUAUUUGGUAUGUCCACUCACACCAUUUGUAUGACCUUUUGAUUUCUCUGCUGUAAAUUCUGUGCCUUCACUUCUUCCUAGUGAAGGGACAGUGGUCUGAAAGCUUGUGAUUUCAAAUAAACCUGUUGGACUAUAA